Lepidothrix coronata (blue-crowned manakin) is the source of this 5895-nucleotide RNA transcript. It is a transcript of the gene named myotubularin related protein 9, with no coding region annotated. The transcript has 13 exons. The record is from RefSeq and is a predicted model, not a curated record. Lineage: Eukaryota; Metazoa; Chordata; Aves; Passeriformes; Pipridae.
GCCCGGGGAGGUGCUUCCGGCCCGUGCCGCUCCGCCGGCGGCUCCCGGGAAUCCGGGGGGUCCUGGGAAUCCGGGGGAUCCCGGGGCUGCCUCCUGUCCCCCCAAGGGCUCCCCCGCUGCUCUGAUCCCCCGGGGGUCUCACUGCCCCACUCUGUGUCUCCCCACUCUCCCCCCGGGCCCUGAGGGCAAAGGCGGGUCCCUGUGAGGGCCUUGCCCCCUUCCUCCGCUCAUCAUCCCAUAUCCCCCGAGAGCCGCGACCACGGCGGGUUAUGCCCCUUCCCGCGCGGGUGGGACCGCACAGACCCUCCCCGGCGCCACCACCCCCUCCCUGUUUUCCCGGUGAGUUUUUUCCCGGUGAGCUUUCCCGGUGAUUCCCUCCCGCCCCCGCCAUGGAGUUCGCCGAGCUGAUCAAGACGCCCCGCGCCGACAAUGUGGUGCUGCACCGGCCGUUCCACGCGGCCGUGGAGGGGACGCUGUGCCUGACCGGCCACCACCUCAUCUUCUCGUCCCGCCGCCACGACAACGCCGAGGAGCUGUGGCUGCUCCACUCCAACAUCGACUCCUGCGAGAAAAGGUUCGUGGGAUCGUUGGGCACCAUUGUCAUAAAGUGCAAAGACCUGAGGAUCAUCCAGCUGGACAUCCCUGGGAUGGAGGAAUGUCUGAACAUCGCCAGCUCCAUCGAGGUCCUUUCCACCCUGGAUUCUGUCACCCUCCUGUAUCCCUUCUUCUACCGGCCCAUGUUCGAGGUGCUGGAGGACGGCUGGCGCUCCUUCCUGCCUGACCAGGAGUUUGAGCUCCUCAGCUCAGUGACAGAUGAGUGGCGUCUCAGCUGCAUCAAUAAGGAAUUCUCUGUGUGUCCCUCCUACCCUCCAGUUGUCAUUGUCCCCAAAUGCAUCACCGACGACGAGCUCCGGAAGGUCGCCAUGUUCCGCCAUGGCAGUCGCUUCCCAGUGCUCAGCUACUACCACAGGAAGAAUGGGAUGAUCAUGAUGAGAAGCAGCCAACCCCUUACAGGUACGAACGGGAGACGCUGCAAGGAGGACGAGAAGCUGAUCAACGCCUCGCUCCGGCCCGGCAAACGUGGCUACAUCAUUGACACCAGGUCCUUGAAUGUGGCCCAGCAGGCCAGGGCCAAAGGAGGGGGCUUUGAGCAAGAAGUCCACUAUCCCCAGUGGAGGAGGAUUCACAAGGGUAUCGAGAGGUUUAAUAUCCUGCAGGAAAGCCUCAUCAAACUGGUGGAAGCUUGUAAUGACCAGUCCCACAACAUGGACCGCUGGCUCAGUAAACUGGAAGCUUCCAACUGGCUGACUCAUGUCAAGGAGAUCCUGACCACGGCUUGUCUGGCUGCUCAGUGCAUUGACAGGGAAGGUGCAUCAGUGUUAGUCCAUGGGACUGAAGGAACUGAUUCCACGCUCCAGGUCACUUCUCUGGCACAGAUUAUCCUGGAUCCAAGGUGCAGGACCAUCCGUGGCUUUGAGUCUCUUGUUGUGAGGGAGUGGCUGCAGGCUGGUCACCCUUUCCAGCAGCGCUGUGCCCAGUCAGCCUAUUCCAACAGCAAACAGAAGUGGGAGGCCCCGGUGUUCCUGCUUUUCCUGGACUGUGUGUGGCAGAUCCUUCGGCAGUUCCCUUGCUCCUUCGAGUUCAAUGAACAGUUCCUCAUCAUGCUCUUUGAACAUGCUUAUGCUUCCCAGUUUGGGACUUUCCUGGGAAACAAUGAAAGUGAAAGGGCUAAACUGAAGCUGCCUCAAAAGACCAUGUCCCUGUGGUCCUGGGUGAACAGGAAUGAAGAGCUGAGCAAAUUCCAGAAUCCCAUUUAUGAGGCCAACAGCUUGGUCAUCUGGCCCGCCGUGGCCCCACAGAGCCUACAGCUCUGGGCAGGUGUCUUCCUCCGGUGGAACAGGCCUUCCCAGUACCUGGAGGAAGCCCAAGAAGAAAUGGUGAAGAUUAUAAAAUACAACAAGGAACUCCAGGACAAGGUGAAGGUGUUGAGGAGGCAGCUGGCAGAGCUGGAGGCGGCUGCGAGGGUGCAGCACAACCCGUGAGCUGCCCGCGCUUUGCCUCAGGUCCUUCCUUUCCAGCCCCCUCUACACUAAAGACUGAACGUGGAAAAGUGCAUGUGUUGCUGAGCCCUUGGGCCCAGCUGCCCUCAGCCCUCCCACUGCUGAAACCUUCACACUAUGAACCUCCCUGCUCUCCCGGGAGGGAUUUUUGUUUUGUUUACAGAAGACACAGCUGGGCACAGUGUCCUCUCUUGGCCGCUUCUCUGUCUCAGCGUUGUGUACAGUGUCAGCAGGAGCUGGAACUCUUUACCUCCAACUGUGUGGAUGACCAGGAUGGGCCAAGAGACAGGAUGUCUCCAAUUUAUUUUGGACUUUUUCUGGGUUUGUUGAACUCUCUAAACACUCACAGGAUUAAAAUACAGACUUCUACAUAGAUAGGUAAAGGCAUUUUGUCUGAAAGCACUUUUUCUCCCCAAGAGUAGGUAAGGCAGCUUAGUUCUUUAGUUUCCUAGAAAAACUAGAAAUUGUUAAAAUCUAACUACAGUUUCUGCCAGUCUACACAAUUCUCUCAGUAGCCUUCACAUCUGACACUUGGGUUUUUGUGUUCAGCAUUGGCUUGGGAGCAGAAAUUUAAAUACCAAACCAGAGCAAGACUUUUCAGUGCAAUACAGAACUGAAGUAGGGAUUCUGCUGCUAAUGUUUAAGCCAUGACUUCCAGGUGGAAUUGUCCCUCAUGGAUAAAUAUCUCCUAAGAAAUAACAAGCUUCUUUUAUUCUGCCUGGAAAACAAAAAAGGUUUGGUAGCUGCUGGAGGUGUUCACUUGCAGAACAGGGGCUCAGAGCUGUCCUUUUACCCAGAUCCAAGCUGCCUUCUUGGAAUUUCCAAGUCCCCUGGCUGGGUUUGGACACCUGGCCAGGUUCACAGCAUUGCAUCUACAGCUCAGCAAAGCACUUUUGCUCCAGCUGAUGUGCUUUUCCCCCUUGUGCUCUUAUAUCCAUGUUGUGAAACCUCAAAAAAGCAGGAGCUGGAAGUUCAGGUGACCUCCCAGAUCUGCUGCAGAUUAAGGGGCCAUCACACUACAGAAAUGCUCAGAGUUUAGAUGAUUUGUAGCUGCUAAAAUUACUUAAAGACUUUAGGGAUAAGCUUUUUUUUUUCCAUUUAACUUUGUAUUUUGUCGCUGCUCUUCCUGUUUCUGCAACUUCAAUCUGCUUUCAUGAAAUCAGAGUUUUCUUUAGCGAUUUUUUUUCUCCUUUCAAAAGACAGGUAAGAGUAGGUCUGAAAUACUCAUUUUCUCAGCUCAAUUCCAUGGAUGGACAGGACUGAGAAGAGUUGAAUUAACAGCAGCACAUGUGGCUGGGAUUAUCCAGAAAUCUUGCUGUUACUGAAAUGGAGCUGCAGGAGGUCGGUGGUGUUCUCUUUGGAAACUGUUGAGCUUCCAGUUUGGGGAAUGAAGCUGCCUUUAUUUAAAAGCCACUUUCACACAGAUAAAAAUGCAGGAUCUUUAGUUGUCGUAGAAGCAGCUGGAGAGUGAUCUGCAAAAAUCAUGUGGCCACUAAAUAUAUUCUAAGGAAAUCCUAUAACCAAGGAAGCAAUAUAAAAUUAUGUUAUAGUGAUUAAGUGCUACCUUAAUGCCUCUUGUUCACUCUUUAUUUCCUUAAUUCUUUUCUUCUUGACUAACCUAAACUUAGCCCUAAAGUCAUGAAAAAAUACCAAGAUCCCUUUUAAGCCACUGAAGGCAGAAAAGUAAUUCUCCCUGCUUGUAACACUGAUUUCUUUUUAGGUUUGGAGAGUGAUGGUUUUGUUCACUAAAUCAAGUCUGACACAGGGAAUGCUGCUCAGGGUGAUCUGUCCUGCAUCACAGGGGAGGCACAAUUUGGCUGUUCCCUCUUCCCACCUCCAAAUCUGGCUGCUGGAGAUACCUCUGGCUGAACAGGUUCUGUGAUUGUAGAAGAGGGAUGGAAGGAGAAGGUUGAGACCCUGAGGCUGUGAGUGGCUGGCAGAGCUCUGAUAUCAAGGUUUUGGUCCUUGGACACCAGCUCUGCACAUGAUGGAUAAAUAAUUAGCUUGGCCAAAGUUUUUUGCUGGUAUUGAACUCUCCAAAGGCAGAGAGGUAGGGGUAUUCAGAGGGAAAAGGGUUUGGACUGAAACAAAGCCCUGUGGAAGGGAGAUGGUGACAGAAGGGGGAAUGGUUUUAAACUAAAAGAGGAGAUUUAGGUUAGAGGAAAAUUCUUCCCUGUAAGAGUGGUGAGGCCCUGGCACAGGUUGCACAGAGAAGCUGUAGCUGCCCCAUCCCUGGAAGUGUCCAAGGCCAGGUUGGACAGGGCUUGGAGCAACCUGGGAUAGUGGGAGGUGUCCCUACCCAAGGUAGGGGGUUGAAAUGAGAUGGUUUUUAAGGUUCCUUCCAACCUAAACUGUUCUGUGACUAUGAGGUCCAUCCAAAGACCUGGGGUCACAGUUACCUGUUGUUUUUGAGGGACAUGGGGGUACCGUGGUGCACUUGCCAGGGGAAGGAACAAAAAAAGACUAAACAGCUCUUGGGAAAUGGAGGCUGGGAACUGUGGAAGCUCCUGGAUCUCUCCCUGUUGGUGAGUCAGGAGUCUGGGAACCACUGGGCUUUCUGUUUCCCUGCAGUGUCAUCUGUGGUCUCUGCAACUCCUUGGGAAGGUGCUUAGGGAGGUACACGCCCAGUUUCCAGGACUGCACAUCCCAGUCGGAGGUGGUACCAUCCAGGAUGGUCUCUUUCCUGGCAUGAAAAACACUUGUGAUGUGCCAGCAAAGCACCAGACUGGGAUUUGGGAGAGUGAAGUCCUAGUCCUGCCGCUGCCACAGGAUUGCUGGUGUCAUCUCGAGUCUCUUCACCAAGGAACCACAGGGACAGCACAUCCCUAUGGCAGGAGCUUUGCUGUGUGUCCAGGUGUCCUGAAAGGCUGGGAAGAGCUUCUUUCCCUCAGCUAUCCAAGCACAGUGGGUGCAAGUUCAGCAAGGGCAGAGGGGAGCAGGAUGAGACCACAAAACCCCACAGAAUGUGUAGGAGGGGAUGGGAGGGAGAUCAAGCCUGAGGUUCUGGGAGAGGCUGUUUGUGAAAGCUUUGAACAAGCAGCACUUCUGGAUGCUCCAUGGGAAAAGGGAGGAAAAAGGCAGUGGUGUAGAGUGGGGAGAGUGACAGGAACAGUCUUAGAGCCACCAUGGCUGCCUAGGAGAGGAUGGACAGUGCUUGUCUGCUGAUGGAGAUUCCCAGCAGCAGAAGUCAUUCCCAACAACCCUGGUCACCAUCCUGGCAGUGCUCAGAGUCCCAGCAUGGAGAAGUCCCUCACCACAGGCUAUGCAAAGGAUGCUUAGGAAUUUCCGGUUUACUGUGUGUUAAUAAACUGCCCCUCCUGGAGAGUGGGAAUGGUCUGGGGCUUUUCUUGGUCCUGGGUGACACCAUGUUAAAUUUCUUGCAGUUUUGGAACUGUUUGAGGCAGGAAGAAAUGGGAUCAACUGCUGAGGAAUCAGAUCCCUCAGGGACUGGCUGCAUAUGUUGCUCUCCAAAUCAGGAGCAUCCCUAAAUCUGUAACCCAGCUGCUGUUCCAGGGUGUCUGAGUGAGGGAGGUGGAUAAUGUGCUGUGAGGAUCAAGCUGUUCCUCUUCUGAGUUAAAAUCAGCCUUUUGCUGCCCUCUCUCCCUGUUUUCAGCUGCCUGGAUUUCCUUCUGCUGAGAAACCUCAACACCCAGCCCAGAUCCCUCUCAUUAUGGCCUUGAGAGGCAGAGCAGCUUGUUGGAACAUGUCCUGCUCUCUUCCCUUUGAUUUGCAUUCCCAAUAUUCCCUUGUUAGUCUGUUAAUGAACUUCAGGUUGUUUUUUUAUGUUUGAAGUCUUUCGGACAUGGAUUUAUAUUAUUUAAAAAAAAAAAAAAAA